GAUGAAGAACGCAGCGAAAUGCGAUAAGUAAUGCGAAUUGCAGAAUCCGUGAGUCAUCGAAUCUUUGAACGCACAUUGCGCCCCUUGGUUAGUCCGAAGGGCAUGCCUGUUCGAGCGUCAUUAUCACCCCUCAAGCCCUGGCUUGGUGUUGGACUUUAGUUAUAGCUUUGCCUAUCAACUGGUCUCAAAGAUAGUGACGGCGCCCCAGAGGGAACCGGGUACGAGGAGCUUUUUACUAAGCAUGUAUCUGGGACGACUCUGGGCGACGGUCUUGUUAUACUUUUUACCUAAGUGUUGACCUCGGAUCAGGUAGGAAUACCCGCUGAACUUAAGCAUAUCAAUAAGCGGAGGA
This 352-nucleotide unclassified non-coding RNA is filed under the name soil metagenome. RNAcentral's name for it is "partial contains 5.8S ribosomal RNA, internal transcribed spacer 2, and large subunit ribosomal RNA". The stretch from base 1 to 120 matches the Rfam family "5.8S ribosomal RNA", at positions 35 to 154 of the family's 154-position model. The record is from RNAcentral.